This 70-nucleotide transfer RNA is filed under the name Marmota monax (woodchuck). Its description in RNAcentral is "tRNA.Ala". The record is from RNAcentral. Lineage: Eukaryota; Metazoa; Chordata; Mammalia; Rodentia; Sciuridae.
GGGCUGGGGCUCAGUGGUAGAGCACUUGCCUGGCAUGUGUGAGGCACUGGGUUUGAUACUCAGCACCACA